RNAcentral lists this long non-coding RNA (1975 nucleotides) under Microcebus murinus (gray mouse lemur). RNAcentral's name for it is "lncRNA (ENSMICG00000048644.1)". The record is from RNAcentral. Lineage: Eukaryota; Metazoa; Chordata; Mammalia; Primates; Cheirogaleidae.
CCUCCUGCGCGGCCCGCGCUCCCCCGGGCCUGCCUGCGCCUCGGUCCCCAGUUCUGGCUCUUUCCUCUCACUUGGCCGCUCGGCCUGCCUCACUCCCGCUUGUUUGCUCUCCUCCGUUUCUCUCCUGUCUGUGUCUCUGUGCGUCUCUGCACCCUUCCGUGGGUUGAGUCUCUCCUUUUCUCGGUCUCUAGUUCUAGUUCUCCUUCCCUCCCUCUGACUCCCAGUUGCCUUCUGUCUCCACCGCAGCCCUCAUUCUCUCUCUCACUUCCCCUUGCUGUCCCCGGCACCCUGUCCCUCCGUCCAUGGUCCAUGGCUCCGGCCUCCUCCCCUCACACCCUGUAUCUCUCCUGUCCCUCCCUGGCGCUGCCCAUCUCGUGCUCACCGUCUCUCACCCUCCACCCCUGGCCAAGGCACCCCCAGGGCCAGCCAGGCCCCCUAGACCUGGCCUUGAUCUGCGCCUCAUGCCCCAGUCCCAUAAAAGGGGUUUACAAGUGGAGGGACUGCAGGACCAGUGCUCAGGGCUCAGACACAGAAGUCAGGAAAACGGAGAGAGGACAUGGCUCUGGCACCUGCCAGCUCACAGGGGCAGAGCUACAGAGUUUGAAAGCCAGUCUUUCAAACGGGGUCUCCCAGGAGGCCCUCAGCUGCCACAUGGUGCCUGGUGGCUGGCACUCUGAGAAUGGUCUCACCUCACUUUCCACUUUCCCACCUGACAAGGAAGGAAGGACCAGGGGCAUGUGCGCCAUGGGGCAGGCAGAGAAGGCUGGGCCUGCAGCCGCCCCACUUCCUUUACCCACGACGCCCUCCUCUUCCUGCCCUCCGUCCUGCCGGUUCCUACCCCUCAUCCCUGGGUCUGGCCAGGGCUUUGAUGGCCAGGGGUGCUCAGCUGCAGGAAAUUGGAGGCCUGCUUCCUGGUGCCCCAUCCACCCAGGCCCAGGGCUGCUCAGGGGACUGUCCGAUAGGACUCAUGUCCCUGCCUCCAUCUCCAGGGGAGCAUGCCUGGUCACUGCUACUAAAUGUGGGACGGAUGAAUGGCUGCAGCACCACCCAGGACACAUCUGCCUCGCAGACACAGGAUGGUCACGUUGGCCUCUCCCUGGGCAGUGCCAGACAGACUCUGCGAAGCUGCCUCCCGGCCCCCGCUGUGCACCGCCAUGCUGACUGCCACACUCACCAGACCAGGCCCAGCAGAGCAGCGUGCUCUGCCCGCUUUUACCUGGGAGACCCGCUGCCCUGAAGGCAACCCUCGCCCUGAUUCCCGGCAGAGUUCUGAAUGUCCUGUGCCCUCGCCUCGCCUCCACGUGCCGGCAGAAUGUGGGGUGGACCGUCUGUCCUUCCUUCCGCGACCUGUGACUAAGCGCCUGCCGUGUGCCCGGCACUGGGGGUGCCAUGUGAACCCACGGGCACGGUUCGUCCUCAGCCCUGCCUUGGACGCGGGCUUCCAUCAGGUAACUCAGAACUGCCUAACCACAAAAGGCCGCACGCCGAGAAGGGCGAUACCAGCUGGUUCUAGAAGAGUCCCUCACAGGGACACUUGAGCCCAUCUUCCUUGGCCUGAGACCCGCAAGACGCACAGCAGUUAGACGAUGAAGAGAGAGCUGUCCCCAUGGGGCGCAAGGGCAAAGGCUCAGCGGUGGGUGGCAGCGGGACCCUGGAGGGCAGAAAGGCGGCCUUGGGGGUGGAGCAGAGGCAGCACAGGGCCUCUGCUUGAGGCUGGGGGCAGGCUGCUGGCCGAUCCAGAGCUCUGUUGCGGGGUGCUACCUUUCAGGGGUCCCACACCCCAGCCUGGCCUCUGGGCCACAGGGGCCUCCAGGGUCACUGGGUGCAGGCUCCACUGCAGCCACCGCACGGAGCUCCCUGACAGCGCCGCGGCGGGAAGGGCCCUCUCAGGGAGCUGCCCAGGCGUGGUGGGGGAGGGCUGUGCAGCCUGUGGGAGCCCGUGUGUGCACGUGUGCGGGGAGGGGUGACCAUGCAC